AUUGAACGCUGGCGGCAUGCCUUACACAUGCAAGUCGAACGGUAACAGGUUAAGCUGACGAGUGGCGAACGGGUGAGUAAUAUAUCGGAACGUGCCCAGUCGUGGGGGAUAACGUAGCGAAAGCUACGCUAAUACCGCAUACGAUCUACGGAUGAAAGCGGGGGAUCGCAAGACCUCGCGCGAUUGGAGCGGCCGAUAUCAGAUUAGGUUGUUGGCGAGGUAAAAGCUCACCAAGCCUGCGAUCUGUAGCUGGUCGGAGAGGACGACCAGCCACACUGAAACUGAGACACGUCCCAGACUCCUACGGGAGGCAGCAGUGGGGAAUUUUGGACAAUGGACGCAAGUCUGAUCAAGCAAUCCCGCGUGCAGGACGAGGGCCUUCGGGUUGUAAACUGCUCUUGUACGGAACAAAACGGUGAGCUCUAAUACAGUUUGCUAAUGACGGUACCGUAAGAAUAAGCCCCGGCUAACUACGUGCCAGCAGCCGCAGUAA
This 493-nucleotide ribosomal RNA is filed under the name uncultured bacterium. RNAcentral describes it as "partial 16S ribosomal RNA". It matches the Rfam family "Bacterial small subunit ribosomal RNA", at positions 30 to 523 of the family's 1533-position model. The record is from RNAcentral.